UGGCGAACGGGUGAGUAACACGUGGGUGAUCUGCCCUGCACUCUGGGAUAAGCCUGGGAAACUGGGUCUAAUACCGGAUAGGACCAUGCUUUAGUGUGUGUGGUGGAAAGUUUUUUCGGUGUAGGAUGAGCUCGCGGCCUAUCAGCUUGUUGGUGGGGUAAUGGCCUACCAAGGCGGCGACGGGUAGCCGGACUGAGAGGUUGGUCGGCCACAUUGGGACUGAGAUACGGCCCAG
This 235-nucleotide ribosomal RNA is filed under the name uncultured Actinomycetales bacterium. RNAcentral's name for it is "partial 16S ribosomal RNA". It matches the Rfam family "Bacterial small subunit ribosomal RNA", at positions 96 to 334 of the family's 1533-position model. Lineage: Bacteria; Bacillati; Actinomycetota; Actinomycetes; Actinomycetales. The record is from RNAcentral.